CAAUAGCGUAUAUUAAAGUUGUUGCAGUUAAAAAGCUCGUAGUUGGAUUUCUGGGAGGGUGCCAAUGUCCGCUGAGGCGUGUGCAGCGGCGCCCUUCCAUCCUUCUGUUAACGUUUCAUGGUAUUCAGUUACUGGUUUCGGGCUCAGAUAUUUUACCUUGAGAAAAUUAGAGUGUUUCAGGCAGGCUUGCGCCGGAAUACAUUAGCAUGGAAUAAUAGAAUAGGACUUUAGUCUCUUUUGUUGGUUUGAGGGGCUGAAGUAAUGAUUAAUAGGGAUAGUUGGGGGCAUUAGUAUUUAAUUGUCAGAGGUGAAAUUCUCGGAUUUGUUAAAGACUAACUUAUGCGAAAGCAUUUGCCAAGGAUGUUUNCAUUA
RNAcentral lists this ribosomal RNA (372 nucleotides) under uncultured eukaryote. RNAcentral's name for it is "partial 18S ribosomal RNA". It matches the Rfam family "Eukaryotic small subunit ribosomal RNA", at positions 592 to 975 of the family's 1831-position model. The record is from RNAcentral.